RNAcentral lists this ribosomal RNA (253 nucleotides) under uncultured bacterium. RNAcentral's name for it is "partial 16S ribosomal RNA". It matches the Rfam family "Bacterial small subunit ribosomal RNA", at positions 524 to 776 of the family's 1533-position model. The record is from RNAcentral.
UACGAAGGGGGCUAGCGUUGCUCGGAAUUACUGGGCGUAAAGCGCACGUAGGCGGCUUUCUAAGUCGGGGGUGAAAUCCUGGAGCUCAACUCCAGAACUGCCUUCGAUACUGGAGAGCUUGAGUUCGGGAGAGGUGAGUGGAACUGCGAGUGUAGAGGUGAAAUUCGUAGAUAUUCGCAAGAACACCAGUGGCGAAGGCGGCUCACUGGCCCGAUACUGACGCUGAGGCGCGACAGCGUGGGGAGCAAACAGG